GAUGAACGCUGGCGGGCGUGUUUUAACUACAUGCAAGUCGAACGGAGUGCCUUUGUAAAGAGGAUUCGUUCCAAAUUGAUAAGGUUACUUAGUGGCGGACGGGUGAGUAACGCGUGAGGAACCUGCCUUGGAGUGGGGAAUAACACAGUGAAAUUGUGCUAAUACCGCAUAAUGCAGUUGGGCCGCAUGGCUCUGACUGCCAAAGAUUUAUCGCUCUGAGAUGGCCUCGCGUCUGAUUAGCUAGUUGGUGGGGUAACGGCCCACCAAGGCGACGAUCAGUAGCCGGACUGAGAGGUUGGCCGGCCACAUUGGGACUGAGACACGGCCCAGACUCCUACGGGAGGCAGCAGUGGGGAAUAUUGGGC
RNAcentral lists this ribosomal RNA (365 nucleotides) under uncultured bacterium. RNAcentral describes it as "bacterial SSU rRNA". It matches the Rfam family "Bacterial small subunit ribosomal RNA", at positions 28 to 369 of the family's 1533-position model. The record is from RNAcentral.